RNAcentral lists this ribosomal RNA (230 nucleotides) under uncultured bacterium. Its description in RNAcentral is "partial 16S ribosomal RNA". It matches the Rfam family "Bacterial small subunit ribosomal RNA", at positions 102 to 334 of the family's 1533-position model. The record is from RNAcentral.
CGACGGGUGAGUAACACGUAUCCAACCUGCCGUCUACUCUUGACAGCCUUCUGAAAGGAAGAUUAAUACAAGAUGGCAUCAUGAGUCCGCAUGUUCACAUGAUAAGUAUUCCGGUAGACGAUGGGGAUGCGUUCCAUUAGAUAGUAGGCGGGGUAACGGCCCACCUAGUCUUCGAUGGAUAGGGGUUCUGAGAGGAAGGUCCCCCACAUUGGAACUGAGACACGGUCCAA